RNAcentral lists this ribosomal RNA (253 nucleotides) under uncultured Lactobacillus sp. RNAcentral describes it as "partial 16S ribosomal RNA". It matches the Rfam family "Bacterial small subunit ribosomal RNA", at positions 524 to 776 of the family's 1533-position model. The record is from RNAcentral. Lineage: Bacteria; Bacillati; Bacillota; Bacilli; Lactobacillales; Lactobacillaceae.
UACGUAGGUGGCAAGCGUUAUCCGGAUUUAUUGGGCGUAAAGCGAGUGCAGGCGGUUUAUUAAGUCUGAUGUGAAAGCCCUCGGCUCAACCGAGGAAGUGCAUCGGAAACUGGUUAACUUGAGUGCAGAAGAGGAGAGUGGAACUCCAUGUGUAGCGGUGGAAUGCGUAGAUAUAUGGAAGAACACCAGUGGCGAAGGCGGCUCUCUGGUCUGUUACUGACGCUGAGGCUCGAAAGUAUGGGUAGCAAACAGG